This 253-nucleotide ribosomal RNA is filed under the name uncultured prokaryote. RNAcentral describes it as "partial 16S ribosomal RNA". It matches the Rfam family "Bacterial small subunit ribosomal RNA", at positions 524 to 776 of the family's 1533-position model. The record is from RNAcentral.
UCCGAGGGGGGCAAGCGUUGUCCGUCCUUCUUUUUCUUAAAGAGCUCGUAGGCGGUCUGUCGCGUCGGCUGUGAAAACUCGGGGCUCAACCCCGAGCCUGCAGUCGAUACGGGCAGACUAGAGUCCGGCAGGGGAGACUGGAAUUCCUGGUGUAGCGGUGAAAUGCGCAGAUAUCAGGAGGAACACCGGUGGCGAAGGCGGGUCUCUGGGCCGGAACUGACGCUGAGGAGCGAAAGCGUGGGGAGCGAACAGG